AUGCAGCCACUCAGUCGCUCACACAGGAACGGUUAUCCCGUUCCUUUCUUCGGUUUGGCUCUUGUGUUACUGGUUUGCUUGAAUUCUCCCACCAGUUCCUGCACAGACCAGGAGAAGAGCUCCCUACUCCAGCUCCUCACUGGGCUCUCGAGCGAUGGUGGCCUCACAGCAUCGUGGCGAAUCGACACGGACUGUUGCACGUGGGAAGGGAUCACCUGCAACCAAGAUAGGACGGUCACUGAUGUUUCGCUGGCAUCUCGAGGCCUAAAGGGGUCCAUCUCACCGUUCCUUGGCAACCUCACUGGUCUUUUGCGCCUCAACCUGUCCCAGAACUCGCUGUCCGGUGGGUUGCCACUGGAAUUAGUGUCAUCCAGCAGCAUCCUCGUUCUUGAUGUCAGCUUCAACUGCCUGACAGGAGGCCUGAGUGAGUUGCCAUCUUCAACCCCUGCACGGCCUCUGCAGGUACUGAACAUCUCAAGUAACUGUUUUACAGGAAGGUUUCCAUCCACAACAUGGGAGGUGAUGAAGAGCCUGGUCGUGCUUAAUGCUAGCACCAACAGUUUCACUGGGCAGAUACCCACUACGCCCUGUGUUAGCGCGCCAUCUUUGCUGUGCUUGAACUCAGUUUCAACCAACUCAGUGGAAACAUCCCUCCAGGACUCAGUAAUUGCUUGGCGUUGA
RNAcentral lists this ribosomal RNA (681 nucleotides) under Triticum aestivum (bread wheat). RNAcentral's name for it is "partial small subunit ribosomal RNA". The record is from RNAcentral. Lineage: Eukaryota; Viridiplantae; Streptophyta; Magnoliopsida; Poales; Poaceae.